RNAcentral lists this small nuclear RNA (18 nucleotides) under Arabidopsis thaliana (thale cress). RNAcentral's name for it is "snRNA_09065". The record is from RNAcentral. Lineage: Eukaryota; Viridiplantae; Streptophyta; Magnoliopsida; Brassicales; Brassicaceae.
GUGCUUGAAAUUGUCGGG